CGGGUGAGUAAUACAUGGGAAUCUGCCUGGUGGUGGGGGACAACAGUUGGAAACGACUGCUAAUACCGCAUACGCCCUACGGGGGAAAGGGGGGGAUCUUCGGACCUUGCGCUAUUGGAUGAGCCCAAGUCAGAUUAGCUAGUUGGUGAGGUAAUGGCUCACCAAGGCGACGAUCUGUAGCUGGUCUGAGAGGAUGAUCAGCCACACUGGGACUGAGACACGGCCCAGACUCC
This 233-nucleotide ribosomal RNA is filed under the name uncultured bacterium. Its description in RNAcentral is "partial 16S ribosomal RNA". It matches the Rfam family "Bacterial small subunit ribosomal RNA", at positions 103 to 339 of the family's 1533-position model. The record is from RNAcentral.